This 594-nucleotide ribosomal RNA is filed under the name uncultured archaeon. RNAcentral describes it as "bacterial SSU rRNA". It matches the Rfam family "Archaeal small subunit ribosomal RNA", at positions 204 to 800 of the family's 1478-position model. The record is from RNAcentral.
UCUGGAUUGGACUGCGGCCGAUCAGGCUGUUGGUGAGGUAAUGGCCCACCAAACCUGUAACCGGUACGGGCUCUGAGAGGAGGAGCCCGGAGAUGGGCACUGAGACAAGGGCCCAGGCCCUAUGGGGCGCAGCAGGCGCGAAACCUCUGCAAUAGGCGAAAGCCUGACAGGGUUACUCUGAGUGACUUUCGCUAAGAAAGUCUUUUGGCACCUCUAAAAAGGGUGCAGAAUAAGGGGUGGGCAAGUCUGGUGUCAGCCGCCGCGGUAAUACCAGCACCCCGAGUGGUCGGGACGAUUAUUGGGCCUAAAGCAUCCGUAGCCGGUUCUGCAAGUCCCCCGUUAAAUCCAGCUGCUCAACAGAUGGGCCGCGGAGGAUACUACAGAGCUAGGAGGCAGGAGAGGCAAGCGGUACUCAAUGGGUAGGGGUAAAAUCCGUUGAUCCAUUGAAGACCACCAGUGGCGAAGGCGGCUUGCCAGAAUGCGCUCGACGGUGAGGGAUGAAAGCUGGGGGAGCAAACCGGAUUAGAUACCCGGGUAGUCCCAGCCGUAAACGAUGCAGACUCGGUGAUGGGUUGGCUUCGCGCUAACCCAGUG